This 458-nucleotide ribosomal RNA is filed under the name uncultured bacterium. Its description in RNAcentral is "bacterial SSU rRNA". It matches the Rfam family "Bacterial small subunit ribosomal RNA", at positions 36 to 526 of the family's 1533-position model. The record is from RNAcentral.
CUGGCGGCGUGCCUAACACAUGCAAGUCGAACGAGAAAGUGGAGCAAUCCAUGAGUAAAGUGGCGACCGGGUGAGUAACACGUGACUAACCUGCCUUCGAGUGGGGGAUAACCUCGGGAAACCGGGGCUAAUACCGCAUGAUGCCUUCGGGUUAAAGAAGCAAUUCGCUUGAAGAGGGGGUCGCGGCUGAUUAGCUAGUUGGUGAGGUAACGGCUCACCAAGGCGAUGAUCGGUAGCCGGCCUGAGAGGGCGCACGGCCACACUGGAACUGAAACACGGUCCAGACUCCUACGGGAGGCAGCAGUGGGGAAUUUUGCGCAAUGGGGGAAACCCUGACGCAGCAACGCCGCGUGGAAGAUGAAGUCCCUUGGGACGUAAACUCCUUUCGACCGGGACGAUGAUGACGGUACCGGUGGAAGAAGCCCCGGCUAACUUCGUGCCAGCAGCCGCGGUAAUAC